This 346-nucleotide unclassified non-coding RNA is filed under the name uncultured fungus. Its description in RNAcentral is "sequence contains ITS2". Lineage: Eukaryota; Fungi. The record is from RNAcentral.
AACGCACAUUGCACUCUUUGGUAUUCCGGGGAGUAUGCUUGUUUGAGAACCGUGUUUUAUCCCCAUCACCUAGGUGAAACCCCAUGUUUUUUAAAGGGGUUAAAUCUAGGCGGAUUUGGCCUUUUUGAUUCCGUGAUACAAAUCGUUCCCCCCUCUUAAUUCGCGGUAGGCUAAAACACAGUUUGCUAGGUUUUUAACACCCUAAGACGUGAUCAAUGCGAGAUUUUCCUUCAUUUUAAACGUCGCUAAGGGUGGGUGUCUAGCUCCCACAGACCUGUCUUUGGUUUAACAAAGACCUCUUACUCUCUCUGGUCUCAAAUCAAGCAAGAAAACCCGCUGAACUUAA